This 75-nucleotide transfer RNA is filed under the name Sphaerodactylus townsendi. RNAcentral's name for it is "tRNA-Gly". The record is from RNAcentral. Lineage: Eukaryota; Metazoa; Chordata; Lepidosauria; Squamata; Sphaerodactylidae.
GGGGAGACCAUGCCUCAGUGACGGAGCAUCUGCUUGCCAUGCAAAUGGUCCCAGGUUCAAUCCCGGGCUUCUCCA